GCCUUAUGAUUUGGUCAUUGCUUUAACUUAUCAUUGAAAUAUUACCAAACUUCAUACAAUGGUUUGCCAUUAAGUUGGUGAAAGUUGGUGAUUUCAUCCCUUAGUU
Capsicum annuum is the source of this 106-nucleotide non-coding RNA. The record is from Rfam. Lineage: Eukaryota; Viridiplantae; Streptophyta; Magnoliopsida; Solanales; Solanaceae.